Molecule: long non-coding RNA, 529 nt
Filed under: Cottoperca gobio
Lineage: Eukaryota; Metazoa; Chordata; Actinopteri; Perciformes; Bovichtidae
Description: lncRNA (ENSCGOG00000011871.1)
Source: RNAcentral
CCCAGGACGACUUGGAAACUAUCACGUCUCAUUUUCAGACCAGUCGUGUGGAAAUACAGGAGCAGUUUGUUGUUCCCAUCGAGGAGCAGGCUGUUCUUGAUGCUCCGGAGUUUUCAUCAGCGGCUCAUCGUGGCCCCCUUCAGGAUCUCAUGUACGACCCGACAGUCCAGAGAUGGAGAAAUUUCAGGCGUAGACUACAACUUCGUCUCUAUCGAGGAGUUCUUCGCCUUGGAGGAGUCAGGAGCGCUGCUGGAGAGCGGAAAGUUCAAAGGGAAUUACUACGGCACACCCCGGCCGGUGCACAUCAGCGUGGAGAGCCCCCCCAUCACCUACCAGGAGCAUCGCAACCUGCUCAGGAACUUCCGCACACGCAGCAAAUCGCUCAGCAACCUGGAGAAGGCUGCAGAGGACGGCGAGAACAGCGAGGACGACUCGGGCCUGUCAGGCGAGUAAAACCUGCUCUCUGUAGCAGCGUGUGUGUGUGUGUGUGUGUGUGUGUGUGUGUGUGUGUGUGUGUGUGAGAGGGCAU